RNAcentral lists this long non-coding RNA (4777 nucleotides) under Gossypium barbadense (sea-island cotton). RNAcentral describes it as "long non-coding RNA (GBAR_LNC015474)". The record is from RNAcentral. Lineage: Eukaryota; Viridiplantae; Streptophyta; Magnoliopsida; Malvales; Malvaceae.
CAGCAUGCUAACCAACCUUCAUCACUCCUCCUUGGUUUGCAUGGUGAAAACACCUAACUUCCUUCUAAAAAACUCGAACCUUGUGACAUUAAGACCUUUAGUUAGAAUGUCAACAAGUUGAUCCUCUGAAUUGCAGUGAAUUAACUUCAUCUCCUGUGCUUGCUCUAUUUCUCAAACAACAUGCAACUUAAUGCUGAAAUGCUUUGUUCUUCCAUGGAACACUGGAUUUUUAGCAAUUGCAACAGCAGAUUGGUUGUCACAAAAGAUCUCUGUUGCUUCUCUUUGAUGCACAUUCAAAUCAACCAAGAUUUUCCUUAGCUAAAUGGCUUGGUUGAUAGCACUUGCUGCUGCCACAUACUCUGCUUCAGCAGUAGAUUGAGCCACCAGGAUUUGUUUCCUCGAGCUCCAGCAGAACAUGGCUGAACCAAGGUUAAAAGCAUACCCUGAGGUGCUUUUCAUAUCAUCUAUCGAGCCAGCCCAGUCACUAUCAGUAUAGCCAACCAGUUUCAGAUUUCCUUCCUUGCUAUACCUCAAACCAUAGCUUAAAGUGCCUUUGACAUAUCUGAGCACUCUUUUUGCAGCUUGAAAAUGCUUUUUAUUGCAGCAAUGCAAGAAUCUUGAGAGCAAACUAACAGCAUACAUUAUGUCUGGCCUAGUGGCAGUUAAGUAUAACAAGCAACCAACUAGACUUCUGUAGGUUGUUUCACAAACCUCCUCAAAAUUACCUUGGCUCGAUAGUUUCUCUCCAACAGCAACAUGAGUUCUUGUUGCUUUGCUGUUUUGCAUGGAGAACUUGGUUAAAAUUAUCAAGACAAAGCUUCUCCGACUUAGAAAUAUCCCAUUCUGUGUUUGUGACACCUCCAUUCCAAGAAAAUAGGACAUCUCCCCUAGAUCAGACAUUUCAAACAUCUCCUGCAUCUAAGUCUUGAAACUGACCAACAUUGCUUGAUCUCCUCUUGUCACUAGCAAGUCAUCAACACACAGAGACACAAUGAGCUGUGUUUGUGUCCCUUGUUUCUUAACAUACAAUGUCGGCUCACUCUUGCUCCUAUCGAAUCCCAAGUCAACUAGGUAGCCAUCAAUUCUGCUGUACCAGGCCCUUGGAGACUGUUUUAAGCCAUACAAGGCUUUCUUCAGUUUGUACACCAUAUGCUUUCUACCAUCUAUCUCAAACCCUUGUGGUUGUUCAACAAAGAUGUCUUCAUCUAAGAAGCUAUUCAGAAAAGCUGAAUUCACAUCAAGUUGAUGUAUUUUCCAUUCGAGUUGUGCUACUAAGGCAAUCAGCAGUCUGAUGGUAUCGAGCCUAGCCACUAGUGCAAAGGUCUCUAGGUAGUCCAGACUAUAUUUCUGACUGAACCCGUUGACAACUAACCUUACUUUCAACUUGUUCAAGCUUCCAUCAGCAUUUUUCUUGACUUUGUACACCCAUUUCACUCAAAUAAUCUUCCUUCUGACUGGCCUUUCAACCAAUUCCCAAGUCUGGUUCUUCUCAAUCAUGUUGAUCUCCUCAGCCAUUGCUUGCUUCCACCCUUGUUGAGCUUCAGCCUCUUCAAAACUACUUGGUUCAGCUAUGACUACAUAAGCCCUUUCAUAAAUUUUAGUCAAUGGUCUUGUUCCCCUGACUGGUUCAUCAUCAAUGUCCAUUUCAAGACCACUUUGAUCUGGCUCAGCUUGAUCUACUGCAAGUUCUUCUGAAACUUCCUCAGGUUCAUGUCUUUCCCAGUUCCAACAUGACCUUUUAUCAAAUACUACAUCCCUGCUGACUGAUACUUUGUUUGUUGAAGGAUCUAAGAUCCUAUACCCUUUCUUGACUGUGCUGUACCCCACCAAAACACUAGGUCGAGCCCUUUCAGACAACUUGUCCCUUUUAACAGCAGGUAUAUGUGCAUAGCAUAUGCAUCCAAAGACCUUCAGAUGUUCCAGUGAUGGCUUGAAUCCAAACCAGGCAUCAAAUGGAGUCUUCUGGUCCAAAGCCUUGGUUGGAAACCUGUUUUGAAUGUAGGUUGCAGUGUUAACUGCUUCUGCCCAUAGAGCUUUAGGCAGAUUCUUCUGAAUCAUCAAGCACCUGGCCAUAUCCAUCAAGCUCCUAUUCUUUCUUUCACUUACACCAUUUUGCUGAGGUUUAUAAGUGUUGGUAAGCUGAUGUUUGAUGCCUGCCUUAUCACAGAAGGCUUGAAACUGAGCUGAGGUGUACUCAGUCCCAUUAUCAGAUCUUAUGGUCUUCAGGUUGUAGCCUGUUUCAGUCUCAGCAGCAGUUUUGAACUUCCAAAACACAGAGGCCACCUCUGAUUUCUGUUUCAAGAAGUAAAGCCAAUAAUAUCUCGAGAAAUCAUCAAUGAACAAUAUAAAGUACUUGUUUCCACUUAAUGAAUCAGUCUUCAUGGGGCCACACACAUCAGUGUGCACCAGUUGUAGUCUUUCAGAGGCUCUCCAGGCUUGAUUCGAGGGAAAUGGAAGUCUGGCUUGCUUGCCUAGCUGACAUACCUCACAUACUUCCUGGUUUUGAACUGAGCUUAUGAAAUUUUCAACCAAGCCACUCCUGCACAUGUGCUUCAUCGAUUUGUAAUUAGCAUGACCAAGUCUUUGAUGCCAAAGCUUGGAUUCAUCUGUUGUAGCCAUGUAAGCAGUGUUUGACUCCUUUGUCCAGUCAACCACAAAGCUUUUAUCAGCCAUAGGGACUGUCAUCAGCUUGGAUCCACUUGAAUCACUGAUUUGGCACUGAUUGUCCUUGAACACCACAUAAUACCCCUUCUCUAGCAAUUGAGCUAUGCUGAGUAGGUUCCUGUCAAUUUCAGGUACCAAAAGUACACUUGAAAUAAUUUUGGCACCUCUGCGAGUGCAUAUCAGCACAUCACCCUUGCCUUCAGCUUUUAUGAAGUGACCAUUACCUAUUUUGAUUUUGGUUCUGCAGCUUCUAUCUAAGGACUUAAAGAUAGCAGCAUCAGGUGUCAUAUGGUUGGUGCAUUCACUGUUUAGGAGCCAACCAGAUGGAAUUCUUUGCUGAGCAGCUGAGCAUGACACAGAAAAGACUUGCUCCUCUUGGUCACUGUCUUCCUUGGCUACUCGAGCUUCUGCCUUCACCUGUUGGGAAUGAUUCUACCUUGGUUUACCCUUGCUUUUGCAGACUCUCUCAACAUGACCCUUCUUUUUGCAAUGCUGGCAUACAGCAUUUGGACUGAACCAACAUUUUUCUUCUGGAUGACCAGGCCUUUUGCAAUACCUGCAAGCCUAACCUUCUCUUCUUGUAGCAUCAUACUUUGGCUUGUCUCUCCAAGCCUUCUUGCCUUUGUAGGCAGUAUUUGUUCUUGCCUGAAAGGCACCUUCUUGGUGCUCCUCCAGUCUGCUUGCUCUCCUCUGCUCUUGAGCAUAUAGAGCAUUGAUCAACUCUGUCAGGGAGAUACUGGACAUGUCCCUUGAGUCUUCGAAAGAUGAGAUUUUUGCCUCAUACCUCUCAGGCAAAGUUGCAAUGACCUUCUCCACUAUCCUAACUUCAUUGAAUUGCUCACCAAAGAGCUUAAUGCUAUUAACCACAGCCAUAAUCCUGUCAGAGUAUUGUUUGACAGUUUCUUCUUCCUUCAUCUUCAAAUUCUCGAAUUCUCUCCUCAAAUUCAACAACUGUUGCUGCCUUGUCCUAUCUGUCCCUUGAAACUCCACUUUCAACUUAUCCCAGGCCUGUUUUGGUGAUUCACAGGCCAUAAUCCUUGUGAAAAUCACAUCUGAAAUUGAGUUCUGGAUGCAAGACAUGGCCUUGUACCUCUUGGUCCUCUCAUCAGCAUGCUGCCUGAUUUGAGCCACUGUUGGAUUGGCUCUAAGUGGCUCUAGUUCAACAUCAGAGUUGACCACCUCCCACAAAUUGAAAGCCUGCAGGUAGGUCUUCAUUUUGACCACCCAUAUGUGAUAGCCUUCUCCAUUGAAGACUUGUGGUGCAGCUGGUGAAAAGUUUGAUGAAGCUAUCUUUCAAGCAACAGGUCCCUUAAGAUAACAGCUCUAGAUACCAAUUGUUGGUGUUAUAACAGAAAUUAACAGACUCGGCUAGUGCCUUGUGCAACAAGCCUCGAUGCUUGCUAAGCAAACAAACAAAUUCGAGCAAGAAGAAAUGAAGAAAAGCUAAAGAAAAUGAAGAAAGUUUUUGAUGAACAAAACAUAUUUCAUUCAUUAGUAAAAGCAAUGGCAUAAUGCCAAUACAUAAAUCAAGCAAUUAGCUUGUCAAAACAGCUCAUGUCUACCUAAUGGUUACCUAACACCACUAAAACAUUGAAACUUGAAAUAAUUAACUUGUACAUAUAACCAAAGCUGAUAAAUAGCUUAUCAAUCCGCAAAAUACAUCAAUCAUCAACCUAACUUAGUUCAAAGUGAACUAAAAUACAUUUCAUUAACUAGAAGAUUACAAAAUAAACAAAACUUGUUCAAUCUUGCUUGCUGCAGUGACUUCUACUGUGGUCGAGCUUCAUGGCUUGCUGAUUUGCUCCAUUGCAGCAUGCUAACCAACCUUCAUCAGGUUCAUUUGCUUGAAACUCAUUUGCAGACCGAGUAUAAAUGGGGGCAAAUAAAACCUUAAAAAUAGUGACUUGAUACUCAUGUAGGAGCCUUAUCCUAUUACUUUAUUUUUUUUGUUCGAGUUAUUGUUCGUGUUUUGUUCGUGUGUUGAAGAUCUUCCCCACUGAAGUUCCGUAUUAACAAUACUAACAGCGAUUGAAUAUUGGGUUUUUCUUGUAGUAUUGCGGUGGCUACUGUUCUCCAAUCUAAGCUAUGGGUUAUUUUUGAUGGCUUGACCUUG